RNAcentral lists this ribosomal RNA (740 nucleotides) under uncultured Gammaproteobacteria bacterium. RNAcentral's name for it is "bacterial SSU rRNA". It matches the Rfam family "Bacterial small subunit ribosomal RNA", at positions 52 to 784 of the family's 1533-position model. The record is from RNAcentral. Lineage: Bacteria; Pseudomonadati; Pseudomonadota; Gammaproteobacteria.
CACAUGCAAGUCGAACGGUAGCAGCAGAGCUUGCUCUGGCUGACGAGUGGCGGACGGGUGCGUAACGCGUGGGAAUUUACCUUGUAGUGGGGGAUAGCCCGGAGAAAUCCGGAUUAAUACCGCAUAAUCUCUACGGAGCAAAGUGGGGGAUCUUCGGACCUCACGCUAUUAGAUGAGCCCGCGUUAGAUUAGCUUGUUGGUGAGGUAAUGGCUCACCAAGGCAACGAUCUAUAGCUGGUUUGAGAGGAUGAUCAGCCACACUGGGACUGAGACACGAACCAGACUCCUACGGGAGGCAGCAGUGGGGAAUAUUGGACAAUGGGCGCAAGCCUGAUCCAGCAAUACCGCGUGUGUGAAGAAGGCCUGAGGGUUGUAAAGCACUUUCAAUAGAGACGAAAAGCUUAGGGUUAAUAACCCUGAGUCUUGACUUAACCUAUAGAAGAAGCACCGGCUAACUCCGUGCCAGCAGCCGCGGUAAUACGGAGGGUGCAAGCGUUAAUCGGAAUUACUGGGCGUAAAGCGCUCGUAGGCGGUUUGUUAAGUCGGAUGUGAAAGCCCCGGGCUCAACCUGGGAACUGCAUUCGAUACUGACAGACUAGAGUAUAGUAGAGGCAAGUGGAAUUCCGGGUGUAGCGGUGAAAUGCGUAGAUAUCCGGAGGAACAUCAGUGGCGAAGGCGACUUGCUGGACUAAUACUGACGCUGAGGAGCGAAAGCGUGGGGGAGCAAACGGGAUUAGAUA